AGUCGUACGAGAAAGCCGGGUGCUUGCACCUGGCGAGUAAAGUGGCGCACGGGUGAGUAACGCGUGAGUACCUACCCACGGGCCGGGGAUAACACGGCGAAAGCUGUGCUAAUACCGGAUACGACCUACGGGUGAAAGUCGGCCUCCCAAAGAAGCCGGCGCCCGCGGAGGGGCUCGCGUCCUACCAGCUAGUUGGUGAGGUAACGGCUCACCAAGGCGACGACGGGUAGCUGGUCUGAGAGGAUGAUCAGCCACACUGGCACUGGAACACGGGCCAGACUCCUACGGGAGGCAGCAGUGAGGAAUCUUGCGCAAUGGGGGAAACCCCGACGCAGCAACGCCGCGUGGGUGAAGAAGGCCUUCGGGUCGUAAAGCCCUGUCAGGAGUGAAGAAAGGUUGGGGAGCCAAUACCUUCCCGGCUUGACGGUAGCUCCAGAGGAAGCACCGGCUAACUCCGUGCCAGCAGCCGCGGUAA
This 475-nucleotide ribosomal RNA is filed under the name uncultured Desulfoglaeba sp. RNAcentral describes it as "bacterial SSU rRNA". It matches the Rfam family "Bacterial small subunit ribosomal RNA", at positions 60 to 523 of the family's 1533-position model. Lineage: Bacteria; Pseudomonadati; Thermodesulfobacteriota; Syntrophobacteria; Syntrophobacterales; Syntrophobacteraceae. The record is from RNAcentral.